GAUGUUCUUGUUGAAUUCUAUGCACCAUGGUGUGGCCACUGCAAGCAUCUUGCUCCUAUAUAUGAGAAGUUAGCCAAUGCAUACAAAUUGGAAGAUGAUGUUGUCAUGGCUAACUUGGAUGCUGAUAAAUACAAGGAUUUAGCAUAAAAGUAAG
Molecule: long non-coding RNA, 154 nt
Organism: Zingiber officinale
Lineage: Eukaryota; Viridiplantae; Streptophyta; Magnoliopsida; Zingiberales; Zingiberaceae
Exons: 3
Source: RefSeq, a predicted model, not a curated record